RNAcentral lists this unclassified non-coding RNA (247 nucleotides) under plant metagenome. RNAcentral describes it as "partial contains small subunit ribosomal RNA, internal transcribed spacer 1, and 5.8S ribosomal RNA". The stretch from base 1 to 54 matches the Rfam family "Eukaryotic small subunit ribosomal RNA", at positions 1778 to 1831 of the family's 1831-position model. The record is from RNAcentral.
GGAAGUAAAAGUCUUAACAAGGUCUCCGUUGGUGAACCAGCGGAGGGAUCAUUACAGGACUCGCAAGACUCCUACAACCCUGUGAACUUAACUAUAAGCACGUUGCUUCGGCGGGUGUCUCGGAGGGGGUUCUCCCUCCCCGAGACGCUAAACCCGCCGGCAGCCUACUAUACUCUGUCUCUUUGCGUUGGCAUCUCGAGUACAAUCAAACAAGUUAAAACUUUCAACAACGGAUCUCUUGGUUCUG